GGCAGGGCCUCCUUCUACUAUCACACACACCAUUGGCACUCUUUGGUUAAAUCCUGUGGAGCGCAAAUAGUGAAACAUUGUUGCCACAAAGUAGUGAAUCCUGAUGCGGAAUACAUUUCGACUGUGGGAUGUAAAGUGGCAGAAUAUCUAGCCAGCUAUUUUUUAUAAUGCUUACCCUCCCUCGAAUGGCGGAUAAACUGGAGCCUAUCUCAAUUGAAUUGUGGGAGUGUCUCCAGGCAAACACAGUGCACUUAUAGACAUAGAACCAGUCACACUUGUUCAACAUUCAAACUUAGAACGGUGAAGUGGCUUCAAUUAACAAUGUUUUUGGAAUCAGGAAGGAGGCCAGAGAACACGGAGAAAGUCCACGUAAACACAGGCAGAACAUGCACACUGCACACAGAAGGGCCAGAGCUUAGAUUCAAACCCCCAACUUGACAGCUGUGAGACAGAGUGCUCAGCACUUGCUCACCACGCUGCCGUUUGGUUCUUGUUUUGGUUCUAACAAACAGCGUCAAACAACAUUUAUUUUGCUUUUUGGUAUUUGAAAAAAAAACAAACAAACAAAAAAAAACACUAACUCACGAGGGUGGAUCUUCAGCAGUUGAAUGUGUUUCUCCAGCUUCUUCCUGAAUCCUUCUUGACAACCAUAUUUUCCUAAAGUUCCAUCAUCCACCAGUAGAAAGUGGGAGUGGAAACUGUUCAGAUCGGCUCUCUUGCUCAAAGGGUUCCCCAGUGGCUGGUAAGGCCUGAAAACCUGAUGAAUGAAGAGGAGGGGAAGAGGAAGGUUGUGGCCACCAAAGGUUUUCACUGCCUCACCCACAUACUUGGACACACCUGGACAAGAUGGCAGGAACGGUUGACUGCGCAGCAAAGAUACCAUUCAAAAUGUACUCAGUAUGUAAUUUAACCGAGCCAAUACGUUUGAUUGAAACAAUUCAUCAUUUAUGCAUGGUUAUUGUGAUUCUACAGUAAGACUAUAGAAAUGUACAUAUUUACACAAAUAUAGCAAAUGUUGUUACAACAAAUAACGUAUUAAUUUAGUACAUUAAA
This is a long non-coding RNA of Hippocampus zosterae (dwarf seahorse), 1053 nucleotides long. RefSeq lists it as uncharacterized. The transcript has 3 exons. NCBI's taxonomy places the organism in Eukaryota, Metazoa, Chordata, Actinopteri, Syngnathiformes, Syngnathidae. The record is from RefSeq and is a predicted model, not a curated record.